Molecule: ribosomal RNA, 362 nt
Filed under: uncultured soil bacterium
Lineage: Bacteria
Description: bacterial SSU rRNA
Rfam family: Bacterial small subunit ribosomal RNA
Source: RNAcentral
AGAGUGAACGCUGGCGGCAGGCCUAACACAUGCAAGUCGAACGGCAGCACAGAGGAGCUUGCUCCUUGGGUGGCGAGUGGCGGACGGGUGAGGAAUACAUCGGAAUCUGCCUUAUCGUGGGGGAUAACGUAGGGAAACUUACGCUAAUACCGCAUACGACCUACGGGUGAAAGCGGAGGACCUUCGGGCUUCGCGCGAUAAGAUGAGCCGAUGUCGGAUUAGCUAGGUUGGACGGGGUAAACGGACCCAACCGAAGGCUACGAGUCCGUAGCUGGUCUGAGAGGAUGAUCAGCCGACACUGGAACUGAGACGACGUCCAGACCUCCUACGGGAGGCAGCAGUGGGAAUAUUGGACAGUGGCG